This 129-nucleotide transfer RNA is filed under the name Actinophytocola algeriensis. RNAcentral's name for it is "tRNA-Val". It matches the Rfam family "tRNA". Rfam says of the family: Transfer RNA (tRNA) molecules are approximately 80 nucleotides in length. Their secondary structure includes four short double-helical elements and three loops (D, anti-codon, and T loops). The record is from RNAcentral. Lineage: Bacteria; Bacillati; Actinomycetota; Actinomycetes; Pseudonocardiales; Pseudonocardiaceae.
GGGUCGUUAGCUCAACUGGCAGAGCAGCCGGCUGACUUAGCGCGUCCGCCUUCCGCGCAUGCGGGCAUGGAGGCGCUUCCUUCUCAUUGGCCCGGCAGGUUCGGGGUUCGAGUCCCCGGCGACCCACCA